GGGGGCGUAGCUCAGUUGGUUAGAGCGCCGGCCUGUCACGCCGGAGGUCGCGGGUUCGAGCCCCGUCGCUCCCG
Molecule: transfer RNA, 74 nt
Filed under: Allostella humosa
Lineage: Bacteria; Pseudomonadati; Pseudomonadota; Alphaproteobacteria; Rhodospirillales; Allostellaceae
Also listed under: 14 other names
Description: Stella humosa tRNA
Rfam family: tRNA
About the family: Transfer RNA (tRNA) molecules are approximately 80 nucleotides in length. Their secondary structure includes four short double-helical elements and three loops (D, anti-codon, and T loops).
Source: Rfam by way of RNAcentral